Molecule: ribosomal RNA, 164 nt
Filed under: Echinops humilis
Lineage: Eukaryota; Viridiplantae; Streptophyta; Magnoliopsida; Asterales; Asteraceae
Also listed under: 3 other names
Description: 5.8S ribosomal RNA
Rfam family: 5.8S ribosomal RNA
About the family: 5.8S ribosomal RNA (5.8S rRNA) is a component of the large subunit of the eukaryotic ribosome. It is transcribed by RNA polymerase I as part of the 45S precursor that also contains 18S and 28S rRNA. Functionally, it is thought that 5.8S rRNA may be involved in ribosome translocation.
Source: RNAcentral
AUAAACGACUCUCGGCAACGGAUAUCUCGGCUCACGCAUCGAUGAAGAACGUAGCAAAAUGCGAUACUUGGUGUGAAUUGCAGAAUCCCGUGAACCAUCGAGUUUUUGAACGCAAGUUGCGCCCGAAGCCAUUCGGUCGAGGGCACGUCUGCCUGGGCGUCACG